ACGCACGCUGGCGGCGUGCUUAACACAUGCAAGUCGAGCGGAAAGGCCACUUCGGUGGUACUCGAGCGGCGAACGGGUGAGUAACACGUGAGUAAUCUGCCCCUCACUUUGGGAUAGCCACCGGAAACGGUGAUUAAUACCGGAUAUGACCAUAUGUCGCAUGGCGUGUGGUGGAAAGUUUUUCGGUGAGGGAUGUGCUCGCGGCCUAUCAGCUUGAUGGUGAGGUAAUGGCUCACCAUGGCUUCGACGGGUAGCCGGCCUGAGAGGGUGACCGGUCACACUGGGACUGAGACACGGCCCAGACUCCUACGGGAGGCAGCAGUGGGGAAUAUUGGACAAUGGGCGGAAGCCUGAUCCAGCAACGCCGCGUGAGGGAUGACGGCCUUCGGGUUGUAAACCUCUUUCAGUACCGACGAAGCGCAAGUGACGGUAGGUACAGAAGAAGCACCGGCCAACUACGUG
RNAcentral lists this ribosomal RNA (462 nucleotides) under uncultured bacterium. RNAcentral describes it as "partial 16S ribosomal RNA". It matches the Rfam family "Bacterial small subunit ribosomal RNA", at positions 29 to 507 of the family's 1533-position model. The record is from RNAcentral.